This 1070-nucleotide long non-coding RNA is filed under the name Ictidomys tridecemlineatus (thirteen-lined ground squirrel). RNAcentral describes it as "lncRNA (ENSSTOG00000033969.1)". The record is from RNAcentral. Lineage: Eukaryota; Metazoa; Chordata; Mammalia; Rodentia; Sciuridae.
GGUAGUCUGAAAGCGUAAGUGGCAAGCAAGAAAGGGAACCGGGAAUCAGCCCGGGAGCCCUCCUCCUUUUUGAGGACCACCCUCCUCUACUAAGACGCAUCAUUUAUCUUCCCCUCCCAGCGUGAGCUCUGGCAGGAGGUGGUGGCCUGGUUUCCCAGGCCCUGCUCCCAGGGCCUCCCAGCCUGUCUCCCAGGAGAUGCCCUUCUCAGCCGCAGGCCAGAGCCUGCCCAGCCUGCCUGGGGACCGACUCCAACACAGGCCUGGGAUGGUGCCUCUGCGAGUGAUCCCGCUGAGGGGUGGUGUUGCCUGCCUGUGCAUGAUUGCAUACUCCUGUGUAUAUCAGGAUUGUAUGAAGUCCACAUUGUUUUCUUCAUUUCAAGAACACAAGCUUUGGACUCUCGCAGAGCUGGGUCUGAAGCCUGACUCUAUUGGCCCACAGCCAUGUGACCUCAGGAAAAUUGCUUGCUGAAUUCCUUGAGCUCCCAUCUCCUCAUCCAUGAAAUGGGGUUUUUGGGAAGAGUAAAUGGGACAAUCCAGGCAACACCCCAGCAUUCCGGGCCUGAGACUGGGGAAACACUACUGCUGAGCCACCAAGGUAAGGAAGUGGAGGAUUGGUGGUUAAGAGGAGUGGCCAGGGUCUCAGAGCUGGGAAGGGGCAGUGCUGACACCAGAAUGUGCUGGGUCUGCCCAGGCACCGCUCCCUGCCAAAGAUGCGGAUGCCUCCUUUCUUGAGCCCUGGUUUCUGCACCUGUGAGUAGAGGAGCUAAAUGGAGAGGGCCUGCUGGGUUCAGGCGGCUGGGUCAUGGUGAUGACAGGUUGCAGGGCUGGAAGGGUGGGGGAAGUGACAUGCCCCGGCUAGAACCAGAAUUAGUUCAGCUUGUUCCCUGCUGUGACCAAAGAACUUGACAAUAACAAUUUUAAGGAGCGAAAAUUUAUAUGGGGGCUCACAGUUUCAGAGGUCUCAGUUCAUAGAUGGCCAGCUCCAUUUCUCGAGGCCUGAGGUGGGGCAGAACAUCAUGGCGGAAGUGCUCAGUGGAGGGAAGUGGCUCAGGAUGUGAUCAGAAAGGCAC